Molecule: transfer RNA, 73 nt
Filed under: Chloroflexota bacterium
Lineage: Bacteria; Bacillati; Chloroflexota
Description: Chloroflexi bacterium tRNA-Arg
Rfam family: tRNA
About the family: Transfer RNA (tRNA) molecules are approximately 80 nucleotides in length. Their secondary structure includes four short double-helical elements and three loops (D, anti-codon, and T loops).
Source: RNAcentral
GCCCCCGUAGCUCAAUGGACAGAGCACCGGCCUUCUAAGCCGUAGGUUGUAGGUUCGAUUCCUGCCGGGGGCG